RNAcentral lists this small nucleolar RNA (139 nucleotides) under Triticum aestivum (bread wheat). RNAcentral's name for it is "Small nucleolar RNA Z247". It matches the Rfam family "Small nucleolar RNA Z247". Rfam says of the family: Z247 is a member of the C/D class of snoRNA which contain the C (UGAUGA) and D (CUGA) box motifs. Lineage: Eukaryota; Viridiplantae; Streptophyta; Magnoliopsida; Poales; Poaceae. The record is from Rfam by way of RNAcentral.
CCCAUCAAUGAUGAUGAGCUCAUCUCCUACAUCACCUCCGUCCUCGACAUGGAGUACCAACCUCUUGUCUCCACCAACGACGCCCGCACCGAGCCCAUCAGCAUCGACAACCUCUACGCCUAGAUGAGCAACUUCGAUC